Molecule: non-coding RNA, 693 nt
Organism: Peromyscus maniculatus bairdii (prairie deer mouse)
Lineage: Eukaryota; Metazoa; Chordata; Mammalia; Rodentia; Cricetidae
Source: RefSeq, a predicted model, not a curated record
CUAUAAAGCUGUUUUGACAGGAUGAGCCUGACGUGAGGGGAGGAGGACUAAUUGAUCUGUUAGUGCUUGGAGCCAUGAAGGAGUCUGGAUUGAACUUCAGCUCUGCCGCUGUGUUUGGAAGCACUGAGUGAUGGAUAUUAAGAUAAAAUUCCUAGGCAAGGCUGGGUGUUAGAAAGAUGGGUGAUAGAUUCUUUUGAAGUCUGAAAAGUCUGAACACGAAGGAGAAAGCGAAAUCUUAGGUUAGGCAGUGGUGAUGGGCAAAGCAGUGAGGCAAGGCAGGGUUAGAAUGGAUAAAAACUCUGCUCCCUUUCUGGAGGAUUUGCCGUGGAUGUCUCCCACUCAUGUUUCCACAGCAGGGGCAACAGGCUCCUGUGUGAUGCCCCAUGCAUGUUUCUACUGCAUCGUGGAAGGAGGAGAUGCAAACACAAGUUCCUAGGGCAUGGGCAAAUGCUCAAGGCUAGCUGUAGCUCCAAUGAGGUAUGUUGCAUUUGGAGAAAAUUCAAAAAUAAAAUAUGACUAAACACAGCUACCUUUAUUGAAACAAGUAAAACAGAUGUCAGUCUAAAAUUUGGACUUGUCUGGAGUAACAGAACAGAGACAUGGAUGUCACGACUUAAGAGGAGAGGUUUAGAAUGACUAUUAGCAGAGAUUGAGCCUGGAUCUCAGAAGAAGAAAGAAUUAGAUAUAAAUUCA